UAAAAGUAAGUCUCAGUUCGGAUUGAAGGCUGAAAUUCGCCUACAUGAAGCUGGAAUUGCUGUAAUGGCAGGUCAGCAUACUGCCGUGAAUACGUUCCCGGGCCCUUGUACACACCGCCCGUCACACCAUGAGAGUUGGGGAUACCCGAAGCCUGUGAGCCAACUGUAAAGAGGCAGCAGUCGAAGGUAGAAUCAAUGAUUGGGGUGAAGUCGUAACAAGGUAAC
Molecule: ribosomal RNA, 225 nt
Filed under: uncultured bacterium
Lineage: Bacteria
Description: partial 16S ribosomal RNA
Rfam family: Bacterial small subunit ribosomal RNA
Source: RNAcentral